AUUGAACGCUGGCGGCAGGCCUAACACAUGCAAGUCGAACGAGUGGCGGACGGGUGAGUAAUGUCUGGGAAACUGCCUGAUGGAGGGGGAUAACUACGGGAAACGGUAGCUAAUACCGCAUACCAUCGGAUGUGCCCAAAUGGGAUUAGGUAGUUGGUGGGGUAAAGGCUCACCUAGGCGACGAUCCCUAGCUGGUCUGAGAGGAUGACCAGCCACACUGGAACUGAGACACGGACCAGACUCCUACGGGAGGCAGCAGUGGGGAAUAUUGCUCAAUGGGCGCAACCCUGACGCAGCCAUGCCGCGUGUAUGAAGAAGGCCUUCGGGUUGUAAAGUACUUUCGGCGGGGAGGCGUUACCUGCAGAAGAAGCACCGGCUAACUCCGUGCCAGCAGCCGCGGUAAUAC
This 406-nucleotide ribosomal RNA is filed under the name uncultured bacterium. RNAcentral describes it as "partial 16S ribosomal RNA". It matches the Rfam family "Bacterial small subunit ribosomal RNA", at positions 30 to 526 of the family's 1533-position model. The record is from RNAcentral.